This 492-nucleotide ribosomal RNA is filed under the name uncultured bacterium. Its description in RNAcentral is "partial 16S ribosomal RNA". It matches the Rfam family "Bacterial small subunit ribosomal RNA", at positions 29 to 507 of the family's 1533-position model. The record is from RNAcentral.
AGUGAACGCUGGCGGUAGGCCUAACACAUGCAAGUCGAACGGCAGCACAGUAAGAGCUUGCUCUUACGGGUGGCGAGUGGCGGACGGGCGAGGAAUACAUCGGAAUCUACUUUUUCGUGGGGGAUAACGUAGGGAAACUUACGCUAAUACCGCAUACGACCUACGGGUGAAAGCAGGGGAUCUUCGGACCUUGCGCGAUUCAAUGAGCCGAUGUCGGAUUAGCUAGUUGGCGGGGUAAAGGCCCACCAAGGCGACGAUCCGUAGCUGGUCUGAGAGGAUGAUCAGCCACACUGGAACUGAGACACGGUCCAGACUCCUACGGGAGGCAGCAGUGGGGAAUAUUGGACAAUGGGCGCAAGCCUGAUCCAGCCAUACCGCGUGAGUGAAGAAGGUCUUCGGGUUGUAAAGCCCUUUUGUUGGGAAAGAAAAGCAGCAGGUUAAUACCCCGCUGUUCUGACGGUACCCAAAGAAUAAGCACCGGCUAACUUCGUG